CCAGCUAAAGCUACUCUCAACAUAAAAGACAAAUCAGAACUUCUCAGUGCUACUUUCAGGAAUGUAUUCUCUCUGACCUCACUAGCUGCCUUACAAGAACAGGCUUGGGGUACMCUUGUUGCCAAGAAAUGCAAGUUAACUCUCUUCCAUUGUGCACUGUUCACAAAGUGACAUAACAUAAAACAGUGAUCCACAAGCUGGUAUGGAACAACAUAAUGGAGGCCAUGCCAUUUGUCUUGGAAAGUACGCUGCAAAAUAACUAUAAUCAUAACUCCCAGUUCCUGUCACAAGCCCUAGGCUAUCUUCAAGGUCCAGAUGUAGUGAUGAGAGAUGCUGCAGCAAUGUUUAUUGUCUCUCCUCCUUUCCUCUGGUUGCGGAGUUGCUGCAAUAGCACCAAGAUCCUGGAUGGAAAGUUUUGUUGCAGAAGUGACCUGUGA
This 437-nucleotide long non-coding RNA is filed under the name Apteryx rowi (Okarito brown kiwi). RNAcentral describes it as "lncRNA (ENSARWG00000007586.1)". The record is from RNAcentral. Lineage: Eukaryota; Metazoa; Chordata; Aves; Apterygiformes; Apterygidae.